GACGAACGCUGGCGGCGUGCUUAACACAUGCAAGUCGAACGGAAAGGCCCUGCUUUUGUGGGGUGCUCGAGUGGCGAACGGGUGAGUAACACGUGAGUAACCUGCCCUUGACUUUGGGAUAACUUCAGGAAACUGGGGCUAAUACCGGAUAGGAGCUCCUGCUGCAUGGUGGGGGUUGGAAAGUUUCGGCGGUUGGGGAUGGACUCGCGGCUUAUCAGCUUGUUGGUGGGGUAGUGGCUUACCAAGGCUUUGACGGGUAGCCGGCCUGAGAGGGGGACCGGCCACAUGGGGACUGAGAUACGGACCAGACUCCUACGGGAGGCAGCAGUGGGGAAUAUUGCGCAAUGGGCGGAAGCCUGAGGCAGCAACGCCGCGUGCGGAAUGACGGCCUUCGGGUGGUAAACCGCUGUCGCCUGUGACGAAGCGGGAGUGACGGUAAUGAGUAAAGAAGCACCGGCUAACUACGUG
Molecule: ribosomal RNA, 468 nt
Filed under: uncultured bacterium
Lineage: Bacteria
Description: partial 16S ribosomal RNA
Rfam family: Bacterial small subunit ribosomal RNA
Source: RNAcentral